RNAcentral lists this ribosomal RNA (460 nucleotides) under uncultured bacterium. RNAcentral describes it as "partial 16S ribosomal RNA". It matches the Rfam family "Bacterial small subunit ribosomal RNA", at positions 338 to 795 of the family's 1533-position model. The record is from RNAcentral.
CCUACGGGAGGCAGCAGUGAGGAAUAUUGGUCAAUGGACGAGAGUCUGAACCAGCCAAGUAGCGUGAAGGAUGACUGCCCUAUGGGUUGUAAACUUCUUUUAUAAAGGAAUAAAAUGAGGCACGUGUGCCUUUUUGCAUGUACUUUAUGAAUAAGGAUCGGCUAACUCCGUGCCAGCAGCCGCGGUAAUACGGAGGAUCCGAGCGUUAUCCGGAUUUAUUGGGUUUAAAGGGGGCGUAGGCGGCCUUUUAAGUCAGCUGUGAAAGUCUGUGGCUCAACCAUAGAAUUGCAGUUGAAACUGGGAGGCUUGAGUAUGUUUGAGGUAGGCGGAAUGCGUGGUGUAGCGGUGAAAUGCUGAGAUAUCACGAAGAACCCCGAUUGCGAAGGCAGCUUGCUAAACCAUGACUGACGCUGAUGCACGAAAGCGUGGGGAUCAAACAGGAUUAGAUACCCUUGUAGUC